Molecule: microRNA precursor, 64 nt
Filed under: Culex quinquefasciatus (southern house mosquito)
Lineage: Eukaryota; Metazoa; Arthropoda; Insecta; Diptera; Culicidae
Description: microRNA cqu-mir-1174 precursor
Source: miRBase by way of RNAcentral
UUCUGGGUAUUUUAGAUCAUCGGCAUAGUUUAGAGAAUGCGACGAUUUCUUCCGUACCCAGAGG